ACUUGUUCUAGCCAAAACUUUAUUAAAAAUACAAAGUCUUCAAGGAAAUGAAUUUGAAAUUGCCUGUUAACUAUUCCAUCUUAUCUUUGUACACAUUCUGAAAUACAGCAAAAUGCUUAAAAGAAGGGAUACUGUACAUGUGUAUUGAGAGUAACAUAGAGAAAUAAAAUCAGAUUGUUUUCCUGUUAAUAAGUGUUUAUUGUAUUUGAUACCAAGCAGUAACAAUACUUACUGGGGAGAAAGUGCAUCAUUUUUGGAAAAGUAUAUUUGUGUGUGUGUGUGUGUGUGUGUGUGUGUGUGUGUGUGUGUGUGUGCAUGCUAGGCAGAGCAUAGGUGUUAGAAACCAGGAGCAGCAUGUAGUUUGCGGUUUCCUUUCUUUUGUCAUUAUUGUUAUUGGUUUGUUUUAUUUUAUGUUUGUUUGUUUGUGGAGACUGGGUCUCUCUGUGUAGCCCUGGGUGUCCUAGCACUCAAUCUGUAGACCAGGCUGGCCUUUAACUCAGAGAUCACCUGCCUCUGCCUCCCAAGUUACAGAGGAUAACUUGUAAGAAUAAAUUCUCUGUUUCUGUCUUUGGGUCCCAGAGAGAUUUCUCAGAGAGAAUUGUCCCAAAUCACAGAAGAAAAGCAUCCUUUUCCAGAUGAUGGGGCCCUGGGAGGUUUUGAAGCAGAAAGUCCAAGCAGCAUGGGAAUGGCUCAUACAAAGGCAUGUAGCUGUAUUGGCCUCAUGGCCAUCUUGUCACGCUGGUAGGAAUUCACACAAGAAGGAUCACAAUAGCUAGAGGAGGACCAGUAAGCAGUCAGUGCUUACUAAGAGAUCUUGCCUCUGAAAUAUCCACUACCACACUGCUAUUAGCAUCUAAAUCUUUGGGAGAACAUUCACCCUAUUAUAUUCAGCUUACCAGUCAGAAGCAUCUUCUUAAUUGCUUUCUGUUUUGUGGGCCAAGUAACCGAAGUAAAAGUCAUUUCAACUUGCUGAAUGCCAACCAGCUUGUGUAUGUAGACACCAAUGAUUGGCCAGAUGGGAAACUGACAGAUGAUUUGGUAUGUUCUUGAGGCAAACUGAGAGAGGCAUGAGGCCAGGCCUUGAACAUGGAUGAAUGGUUGUCCAGGUAACUCCCAGGAGACACUAAUCAGGAAUGUGUUUUCCCUGACCCAGGGUUAUGCACCUUCUGCUCCCCACACCAAAACACUCUAUACCUCUAGAGGCCAACUUGGUAGGCCAUCCGCUAUCCAUUGAACUAAGAGAUUCUUUGCCCAAUGGCACUGCACUCUCUGAAGGUGCACUGCCUGUGAUAAAACUGGUUCCUACAUGGCCCCUGAACACACUGCACAUCUUCUGGACAAUGUGGUCAAGUCCGGAUGUGUCAGGAGCUCUGCACACUCUCAUAAGCAAGGCAGCUCAGGCAGGGUCUCAUGUGCUCUCCUUCCAGUCUUCUUCUGUCUGACAAGAAUUACUGCAGGAGAUUGAGCCAGAGGUCUUCUGCAAUGACCUGAAAGGAGGUGAGGCAAGUGUCUCUCUAGCUUCUGGGGUCAGAGUCCCUCGCCAGCCUAAGGGCCUUUAAGGACACAUGACAGUCCUUUUGGGAAUAAGACGACCAGAGCACACCACUUCAGCCAGCCUGUUAUCUCCUAGGAAAUUGUGGGCAAACAACCAGUCCAGGAAAGUUAGCCUCCAGGGUUCCUGCUGGUAAAUGGGAGCAGCAAGGCCAAGGGCUUGUCAGUUGAGAGUUGAGAGUGCUUGGCUGUGCAGAUUCCACAGUGCUUAACUGAAAACAGUCAGAAGUAUCUGACUUUUCUGAAACACUGCAUUAACUUGCCCCCUAGGUCCACUAAGUAGUGGCCAAAGGGCUCUACUGUCCAAAUCACAAGUUGAGAUAGUAUGGCCUCAGUCAGUUAGUUGUUCAGAUGUGUUACAGUCUGACAGUGUGGAUUUUCUUACUGAUUUAGACACUGACAGCUCUGGGAAGAAACAUGCUGUGUCCUUUGGACCAUCAGAUGCUGUCAGCCUGGGACAACCAGAAGUAGUGAGAUGCAGGAUGUCAGAGGACCUUCAGACACUUUGUACUCUAGAUAGGGAAACAUGUGCGUUCUGUUGAGUAGAGCUCUGUGGGGUCAGGCUAGUUGAGUGCUGAGGGUCUGGACCCUCACUACAGUUCACUGUAAGUAGACCGAAAGUUUGAAAUUAUGUGCUCUGGACAGCUUAAAGCCAUAGUUUGCGGAGACAGAUACUGAAGGGUAUUGUGACAGGCUUACCCUUCCCCCCCCCCCCCCCAUUCCCUCCGCUUUGCUAAAACUCAUUAGGUUACCUUUCCUAAAGCAAGCCAACAAGAUCUACUUCCUCAUACGGCCACUUCCUCCUCCUGAGACUGACUACCAAGGUCCAGAUGUCAACCUACCAAACGAAGUCCAGCAAACAAAAGCCUACUUUGUCUGGCCUAAUUAAUUAAAUUGGGCAUUUGUCAUGCCCAAAUUGGAAUCAAACAUCCUGUAAAAAUGAAAAUUAAUAUAAAUGAAUGCAUUGAAUUAA
Long non-coding RNA from Apodemus sylvaticus (European woodmouse), 2524 nucleotides. RefSeq lists it as uncharacterized. The record is from RefSeq and is a predicted model, not a curated record. NCBI's taxonomy places the organism in Eukaryota, Metazoa, Chordata, Mammalia, Rodentia, Muridae. The transcript has 2 exons.